AACGCACAUUGCGCCCUUUGGUAUUCCGAAGGGCAUGCCUAUUCGAGCGUCAUUAUCAACCCUCAAGCCCGGCUUGUUAUUGGGCCUUUUACCGUGACAGGUAGGCCCCAAAGAUAAUGGCGGCGUCGCAGAUGACCCCUGGUGCAGCGAGCUUAUAGCAUACACCUUGUGUCGUUGGCGAUCCGGCCACCUUUUCUUGCUGCUCGCAGCAAUAAUUUCUCAGGUUGACCUCGGAUUAGGUAGGAAUACCCGCUGAACUUAA
Molecule: unclassified non-coding RNA, 262 nt
Filed under: uncultured fungus
Lineage: Eukaryota; Fungi
Description: partial contains 5.8S ribosomal RNA, internal transcribed spacer 2, and large subunit ribosomal RNA
Source: RNAcentral